Dermacentor albipictus is the source of this 757-nucleotide long non-coding RNA. RefSeq lists it as uncharacterized. Lineage: Eukaryota; Metazoa; Arthropoda; Arachnida; Ixodida; Ixodidae. The record is from RefSeq and is a predicted model, not a curated record.
GCCUUCUCUCGAGAUACCUCGGGAGCCCGCGUGAAUAGACCUCUCCUGGGGUACGUCACACAGAACGAGUGACGUCAUGUCACAUGACCCUUACGCGCGCGUGGGUGGUUGUAGUUUACGGCUGGUUCGCAAACCAUUUCAGUGCUCCUUGUGUAGUGGGUCCGCACGAGCGCAACUUCACGCCGGUGUUGCUUCGUUUUGUGAGCGCCUAUCUACCAUGUCUAGCAUGGGGGUUAGUUGUUGCCAAGCGCGCGGCGAAAGGCAGCGGCGUCGGUUUUUUUUUUCGUUUUCCGAAAGAAAACACUCGUCGCAAAGUAUGGGUGCAAGCUGGGCACCAAGAAAAAUUGCAGCCCUCAGACAGCAGCAGAAUUUGCGGCCUACAUUUCAUCACUGGUGCUCCGUCUCCAUUCCCGAACCACACGGACUGGGCACCUAGCAUUUUUGCCUUCAAGAGGGCUAACCGCGAAGCUGAAGAAAAGAAAUGCGACAGAUACGAACAGACGUUCAAGUGAAAACGUUGGUAGGGUAAGUGGCGGUUGCGAAGUCGUACAGUUGCGGCGCGCUGCAGGCCGGCGAUGCUCACAUUUCGCCUGCCCUCUGCUGAAGUAUGCGGCCGGCUAUCACUCAGCCUAAAGGAAUGCAUUCUCUCCCGCUACAUAAAAUAACGUCGUCUUUUUUCCCAUUUAUGAAAUCUGAAGCGUGUUAUUAACGGGACCUAUGAGACAUCGAAAGAGCGGCACCAUCUAAUAUGCGUACA